UAGGGAAUCUUCCGCAAUGGACGCAAGUCUGACGGAGCAACGCCGCGUGAGUGAAGAAGGAUUUCGGUUCGUAAAACUCUUUUUUUAGAGAAGAACAGCGCAUAGAGUAACUGUUAUGCGUGUGACGGUAUCUAACCAGAAAGCCACGGCUAACUACGUGCCAGCAGCCGCGGUAAUACGUAGGUGGCAAGCGUUGUCCGGAUUUAUUGGGCGUAAAGCGAGCGCAGGCGGUCAAAUAAGUCUGAUGUGAAAGCCCCCGGCUCAACCGGGGAGGGUCAUUGGAAACUGGUUUACUUGAGUGCAGAGGAGGAGAGAGGAAUUCCAUGUGUAGCGGUGAAAUGCGUGGAUAUAUGGAAGAACACCAGUGACGAAGGCGACUCUCUGGUCUGUAACUGACGCUGAGGCUCGAAAGCGUGGGUAGCAAACAGG
RNAcentral lists this ribosomal RNA (429 nucleotides) under Bacteroidota bacterium. RNAcentral's name for it is "Bacteroidetes bacterium partial 16S ribosomal RNA". It matches the Rfam family "Bacterial small subunit ribosomal RNA", at positions 355 to 776 of the family's 1533-position model. The record is from RNAcentral. Lineage: Bacteria; Pseudomonadati; Bacteroidota.